RNAcentral lists this long non-coding RNA (11595 nucleotides) under Manihot esculenta (cassava). RNAcentral's name for it is "long non-coding RNA (MESC_LNC006936)". Lineage: Eukaryota; Viridiplantae; Streptophyta; Magnoliopsida; Malpighiales; Euphorbiaceae. The record is from RNAcentral.
ACUAGUGGGACUCAGCAGCUUCCAUACAUAUCAUCAUGCCUUGCCACUCACAAAAACCAGAAGCUUCAAGAUAAUGGAGAAAAAAGAAGUGAGAUCAUUUGCUUAUCAACAAACAAGAAAACAAUACUAAUAAUAAUUUCCCACGUUUUCUUCCAUUUAAAAAAGAAGAUAAAUGAAAAAAAUGGUAGGGCUUAAGUUAUCAACACAGAUCGAAUACCUAAGCUUUUUGAAGUCUUUAUUCUAUUAUGUAUUCAUGUAGUUGAAUCAUUGCAUUAAUAAGUGCGCCUUUCAAGUGCAAAACUAACUCUCAAGUUGUUUGCAGAAACACUUGGUGCUCUUUCCAUUACCGACAUCAACAAUUAUUUUAUUAUUAUUUUUUUUUCUCUUUUUUCCAUUUCUUUGAAAAAGAUUAGGCUUCCAUAUGCCUUGUCAAUAUGUUAUCUUAAACAUCAGGCUUCUCGAAUCUUGCACCCACGACCUCAGUACAGUAGCCAACUAGGCUGUUGGCCAACAGCAUAGUGUAAAAAUCUAAGUAAUGAAGCAAUUAGUCUUAAACAUAUGUACAUUCAUGUGCGCUUUGAGACUUCCAAGUAAAAGAAAACGAUUUCUGGUCUAUUCAUAUCAAAUCCCAUGUGCAGCUUCAUAGGAAGUUGCUAGCUUCCCACACAAAGAUAUGAUAUUUUCUUCAUUUCUAGGACCAAAAUCAGGCUAUGUGUCUGAAAACUUUCGAACACAGAAUUGCGAGAAGGAACCAGAAGAAGGAAGACAGGAAUCCCUUUUCGCAAUAUGGAAACCUACAAGGAUCCUAACCUGAUGCUACAAUAAUAUCUACAAGAUAAAUUGCAAAAACAAAAAGAAAGAGAGAAAACACACACAGGACUCGGGGAUAUGAUUGGAUAGUUGUCAAAACUAUGGCAAUUUUGAUAAAGAUUUUGUUUUAUAUAAGCCUUGCACUUGAUGUGGGUUCCCAAGAGAAUGCACUCGCAAACUUAAUUUGAUGAUGGGAAGUCUACUAUAAACAUUUGUAUUUGGAAAUCUAGGAUAUUAUAGUUAAGGAUAAUCUUGUUUAAAGAAAACGAUAAUACAGCCUUGGAAGAAUCAAGAAGUAGCUGGCUACUCUGUCUUUCUGUUAGCUAUGCCUUUUUUUGUAACAAACGACAAAUGCAAACUGAGAUACUCUGCAGUCCCUGCAGCAGAAGAAACUGUAAGAAAAAUAGACAAUAUAUGGUAAUAGGGACAUGGGUGUUGUGGUUGUUAGAAUCUUUCUAAUUUGACUAUAGGAGUUGCUUAAAAAUUUAGAAUGAUUUGUCUUUUUUUUUGCAGGAAAUGACAGUGCAUGUGAAAGCACAUGAGAUUAAGAAACUAAUGAUAAUUUUUAGAUCUACUUCAUGAACUCUUUGUCAUUUUCAGACAACUGGAGUUUUAUUUCCUUCUAGAAAGUAAGUCUUGGCUUGUAAAUCACCCCUCAUCAUGCAAACCAAGUACCAAGAAAGCAAAUUUUCUAAUAACAGUAAAAAAUAGUUUCUGUGAUAUCGGAGCCUGUUGAAUAGGUUAAUCAGUUCAAAUUUACACCCUUCUUUGAGAGUUAAUCGAUUGCUGUAUUUCUUACAGGGUGGUACACUGACAAACAUGUGGGUGCGACAGAUGUAAUGUAAUGUUUAACUCCGGGAAGUUGGUGAGAGUCAAAUCGAGGUGGAUAUUUCUGAGCAGAAAGUGCAGAAUGUUACUAACUAAUCAGGACUAUUAAAUUUUUCUGCUUCAGUUGCAGAUUUAAAAAUUAAGAAAAAGACAUGUGAAUCUGAUAGAAUGCCUAAACAGCACGCGGUGUACAUGCACCUUACCAACAGAAUACUACGAUUUUGAUUUAUUUUUUAACCUGUAACUUGAAAAAGUGGUUGUCGCUAGCAUUUCACCUUUUUGGAUUCUCUGAAUAUCAUCCCUCUAUAUGGACUAAGCUUCUUUCCUGCAAUUUUUUUUUUAUUACAUAAAGCUUGUCAUUACAAAACACGGUAGCAUAUGUGCUCUUGGGUUUCUUUACAGCUUUCUCAAGAUUAGGCGUGAUGGUGAAGUAUGAUGUUUAAAGCUUAAGUUUAGUCGUAAAGUUGCCUACAAAUGGAGAUAAAAUUUCAAACUCAGAUAUUGCAGAUCUGAAUAAAGUUGAAUAUAUAACCUUAGAAAGAAAAAUUCAGACCAAAAUCUGGAAAAGGUUCAAAGACAUUACAGCUUUUUUUAGCAUUUUAAUAUAUCUGACCUGACAGUAAAUAUGGCAAAGUUUAACUAAAGCAAUGAACUUUAGGACCACAAACAAGGUUUCUAAAUUUUAACAUUCAUCAAUGUUUAUGUCUUUCUAGUUAAAUGAGAUUUCUUCUCCUUUAAGGAUAGAAGAAAUUAAACUUCUAUGUACAAAUUUUGAUGGAAAAUAAUACUGAAAUUGGAUAUAAAUAUAAUUGAAUGGUCCAUGGCCACUGGGUUCUAGCUGUCUAGCAAAAACUUAAAAAAAGAAAAAGAAAAAGAAAAAGGUUUGUUCCCUAAAAUUUAAUUCCCAUAUCUGAACUUCAUGUCUUUCAUCUGCCAUGUGCAUUAUGAUCAAUGACCAUUAAUGGCAGGCCUGAGAUGAAGAUAAUUUUUUUUUUAAUAAUAUUAAGCAGAGUCAAAUUAAUGAAAAUGAAUAAUUGUUUACAGAAAAAUUUAAAGAAAUAUUUUUUUUUUCUCAAUUUAAUAUGGUGAUUAAUGCAUUUUGGCUUUAUUAUGUUCAGUUACAUGUAUAGCAUGUCUUUGUUGGGCUUUACUUAGGGUAGCUUCCUGUUUCAGACUUUUCCCAUUUGGGUCUUUGUCUUUAAGAAGAGACCUAAAUCUAAUAAUAAUUAUUGGAAUUUUCUGAAGUUGUCUGAAUUUUGAAUUCUAUUUUUAAAAGAUUAUGUUCUGAACAUUCACAACUCGACAGCAUUAUACUCUGCAAUCUUUUUACCAUUUACAAGCAUUCUGGAAAUGAAGACUGGGAUUGAAAUUAUGCACAAGAAACCAAACCCAUAUAUGUUGACUUUUGGAUCUUCCCAGAUUUGGACAGAAGAUAAGCCAGAGCACUGAAAAUGGAACUAAGUAAUUGUUCAAAUUCACAUCAACUUCAAGAGAUGAGCUGCCUGAGCAGGAGCCAUUAAUGGCUUCAUGUGCAAUUUAAAUGAAGCUAGGCAUCCAAAAGAUUUGAUGGGAGUGAAUUAAAACUCUAGAAAAGUGUGCUAAUUUGCAGAUCUUGAUUCCCACAUUGGCCACUAUCAUUUGGGGAAGAACAUCAUAAUUAGGAUUUAGGAGGGUUUUCAUGCAAAAACAAUGAAAUUUUCAUGCAGAAUUUAUGAGGUAUCAGAUGGAGUUCUGCUCAUGUAUUAAUGGCUUUAAUCAAUGGUGGAGUUGAGAGUAAAUUUGGGGGUCAUGCAGAGACAAUGGCAACAAAAUCCAAAAUCUGAUGUCGGAAACAAACAGAAGCUUAGUGCUCUAAGCAACUAAUUUUAAACAUUAAUCAUUGAACAUAAACUCUACUGUCUUAUCUGUUAAUUUUAUGAUUUGUUGGGCCAUCCUCAUCCACUCUUUUAUCCAAAUAUCCAACAAACUCCAGUACCUGAACGCUGUAGUUAUUAUCUUUUCUUUCUUUUCUUUUAUUUUUCGUUUCACAUAAGAAAAAAAUUCAAAUAAAUUUUUAUAAAUCAUUUAUAGUUUAUUCACUUUUAAAAAAUGAAAAUAUCAAAAAUAAAAAAAACGAAAUUUUCCAUUCCAAAUAAAAAAUUAAUUAAAUUAAAUUAUUGUGAAAAUUUUUUAUUUUAAACAAAGAGUUAUUGUUUGAUGGAAUGUAGAGUAAAAUAAGGGUGUUUUUAGUAAAGGUUUAUAAAAUAAGGAUUUCAUAAUUUUUAAACCUCUAUAAUUUAUUAUUGUUCAAAAAAGGAAUAUAAUAUUUUUGAAGAUAUUUGCAGAUUUUUAGAAGAAAACUUCCCAAUUCUCCAAUUUAUUGAACCGUAAAUGAAGGGUUUUGAGGUUUUUGAGAAGGGAAAUUUCUAAAUUAGUUAAUUUAAAAAAUAUAUUAAAAUAUCGCUGAAAUUUUAAAAGAUUUAUUUAUUAAUUAUUUUACUAAUUUUCUACUAUUUAAUCUCCCAUUAAAUAAUUUCUUAAUUCUAUAAAAAUAUAUUUUAAACUUUUUACAACUGCUAGAAUCAUACACUAAUCACAAUUAUCUAAAACUGAAGAUGUUAAACUGCAACUUCUGUUGUAAUAACCAACCACAUUAAGCUCGGAAGUAGGAAGAUUAGUUAAUAAAAUGUAAUAUACAAAAAAGGGUUGGUGUUUGAGAAGGAAUUACAAAUAUGCCAUUGUAUAUCACGAGACUUGUCACUGUCCUUAAAACAAAUGCAAUGCACCCAACUGCUAAUCAAUCUAAUAAUGCAUUUUGGGGAAAGGAGAUAUCACGAAAAGAUACUUAAUAUCCCUCCAAAAACUUGCAUGGUUAAAACCAAAAUCAAGAGCGGCUAAACGCGUCAAAAAAUCUCUAUUUGUAAGACUCAUGCCCAAUCCCAUUCACCCACGUGUUUCUUUAACGCGGCUUUGAAAGCAUAGCAAUCAACCAAUAACAAAUAAUAAUACCAAAAAUUGCACAAACACAAGUGUUGUGGACCUCUCCACUUGAAUCCCAUUUCCCAAUUUUCCAAAAUCUUGUUUACUAAAGAGUCAGAGCUCAUUUUGUUGCCUUCCAAUUCCUAAUUCCUAUUUUUUUUUAUUAUAUAAAGCCAGUACAGGAAGAAAAUUUUUGGUAGAGAUUUUGCAACCCACUUAUAGAAAGUUAAUUACUUUGAAAUUUUACAAGAUUUUUUUUUUGUGUGCAGUUGUGGUUAUAAAUAUAGUCCAAUUUCACAUUCAUCGUCGUUCCUCUGCAGAGUUCCUUCCCACAAAGGAGCUUUCAGCUUUUGGGUGUCAUUUUCAUAGCAAUUGGCUGUUGGUACUUUUUUUCUUCUACUCUUCUAGUGUUGGCUAUUUCAUAUUCUCUCACACAAUGUUGCACAAGAAAUCCGCCAAAAAUCAUUUUAAAUCUUAUUUUCACAUUUCACACCCAUUUAUUCUAUAGUUGAAUUAGAAAUUAAUUUGCUUAUUUCUGUUUUCAAUGGCAAUAAUGGAUUUUCCAGGUGAUGCUUAAACGAGGAGGCUGAGGCUCUCAAUUGUCAAAGCUCAAUAACUAACCCCCAAAAGACUCUCUCUUUCACUCACUCUCUCUCUCUCUCUCUCUUCCCAUCUGUUCAAAUCUUCUUAUAUAUUUCUUCACUUGACAGCCCUACAAUACAAACCCACCAACAUUCUCACUUGUCAUUGCUUGUAAACAAAAUGCAAGCUCAUCCCUUUUCCCCUCUCUUCCUCUUCUUCCUCUGUUUCCCAUUUUUGCUCAAUGUAAGCCCACUUUAAUUCCCAUUUGCUCUUCUUUUCAAUUGAUUUUUAAAAAAGUUUCUUUCUUUGUUAUUGUUUCUGAUUCUUGUUCUUGUUUUUGUUGGUUUCUUGGGCAAUGCAGGUGAGUUUAGCCGGUGCCAGGGUUCUGCUGGCCGGUGACAGUCCAUUUACGCCAAAAGCAUAUCUUAUCCGGUACUGGGACAAGGAGAUCCACAGCAAUUUACCAAAAUCUACAUUCAUUUUAUCCAAAGCUUCCCCAUUGAACGCCGUGGACGCCGCCACUUUUACCAAACUCGCCUCCCAAAAUGCCCUCUCCACGAAGUUUCCUGCUUUCUGUUCCUCCGCCAAGCUCUUCUGCUUCCCUGAUUUAGCGCCCAGUCUAGAUAAGCACGAUGGUAACUCUAACUUUGCGGUCUAUUUUGACAAGAACUUUACCAAUUACGGCACGGAUUCGGUGAACGGAGUCGACUCGUUCAAGAACUAUUCAGAUGGAGAAAAUAUCCCUGUGAAUUCUUUUCGCCGAUAUGGUCGUGACUCCAUCGAUCAUAACGAAAAGUUUUCUGCUUAUGGUCCUGAUGGGAACGUCGUCGACCAAAGCUUCAACACCUACGGUGCCCAUAGCAGCGGUGGCGCUGGCGAGUUCAAGGAAUACAAUGACCAGGUGAAUGUACCAGAUCUCCGUUUCGCAUCUUAUUCAGAUCACGGGAAUCGCAAGGCCCAAAAAUUCUCAAGCUAUACAGGGGAUACAAACUCCGGCAGUGAAUCGUUCACCAGUUAUGGGAAGAAUGGGGUAGCAACCCCUAAUGAGUUUACGAGUUAUGCAGACGACUCGAAUGUGAUUGGGUCGGAAUUUACAAAUUACGGCGAGGAUAGCAAUGGGGCUAAUAAUACCUUCAAGUCUUAUGGGUCGAACGGAAAUGUUCCAGAGAACAAUUUCAAGAACUACGGCGCUGAAGGAACUGUUAGUGUUGAUUCCUUCACCUCUUACAGGGAAGAAUCCAAUGUGGGUGACGAUUCCUUCCAAUCUUAUGCUAAAAAAUCAAGUGCUGGAGCUGCAUAUUUCAAAAAUUAUGGCCAAUCUUUCAAUGAGGGUUCUGAUACAUUUACUGGGUAUGGUGAAGGAGCAAAUGAGCCGAAGGUUGGGUUCAAGAUCUAUGGAGAGAACUCCACUUUCAAAGAGUACGCCGAUAAAAAGACCACCUCCUUUUCCGAUUACAGAAAACAAAGCUCUGCUACUGCUUCCGAUGAAAAAACAGCAAAGACAGCCAGUGGUAGUUUGGUAAAUAAGUGGAUUGAGCCUGGCAAAUUCUUCCGUGAGUCUGAGCUGAAGAAGGGGAACGUGAUGCCUAUGCCUGACAUUAGAGAUAAAAUGCCAAAAAGGUCAUUUUUGCCCCGGACAAUCACCUCAAAAUUACCAUUUUCCACCUCCAAUAUCGCUUCAUUGAAGGAAACUUUCCACGCUGCUGAUAAUUCCACCAUGGAGAAGAUAAUUAAGGACGCCCUUGAGGAAUGCGAAAGAGCCCCCACUCCCGGCGAGACCAAGCGCUGCGUCGGCUCCGCCGAGGACUUGAUCGACUUUGCCACUUCCGUCUUGGGCCGCAAUGUGGUGGUCCGUACAACUGCAAACGUGAACGGGUCAAAGAAGAAAAUCAUGAUCGGAUCAAUCAAAGGAAUCAACGGUGGUAAAGUGACCAAGUCAGUAUCUUGCCAUCAGAGUUUGUUCCCUUAUUUGCUCUAUUACUGCCACUCGGUUCCCAAAGUUCGGGUAUACGAAGCGGACAUUUUGGAUCCGAAUAGCAAGGCUAAGAUUAAUCACGGUGUUGCCAUUUGUCAUCUCGAUACUUCCGUUUGGAGCCCCAGCCAUGGUGCAUUCUUGGCUUUGGGUUCGGGUCCAGGUAAGAUCGAGGUAUGUCACUGGAUUUUCGAGAAUGAUAUGACUUGGGUUACCGCGGAUAAUUAAACUUGUGGAACAGAGGUUGGAUUGGAUUGUGUGAUUUUUGGCAUCGCCUCUGAUUUGGGUUUGAACCGCUGGCUAAGAAAAGUUAGCCGAUGGGUUGAUCUUUAGAGCAGAGUUAAAUUAGAGUGUUUUUAAUUAUAAGUCGUGGGUUUCUUAUUUAUUUGCGACAAGGUUAUGUCGUUUUGAGAAAAACUUAUUAUUGUCAAUUAUAAAUAUUUUGUCAAUAAUAAAUCUCUCAUCGAUGAUGAGAUCUUGUUGGAAUUUAAUUUUGCAUUUUUUUUAAAUUUUAGAAUUCCUAAAACAGAAUUACACUAUUAUUAAGACAUUAAAACAAUAGAAAAAUAACAAAGAUGAUAAAGGAAAUAAAUAAAUGAAAAGGACAAAGGGUAAAGUUAAGAAGGAAAUAAGAAAAAGAAGAGAACAACAGAGAAGGAAAUGAGUGCAUAAGAAAAUAAUAAUAAUAAUAAUAAUCAAAUUCAACCAAAUUUAAAUUUUUUUAUAUUUAUUUUGAAUUUAAACUAGAUUCCUGAUUUAGAUUUUGAUAUUAUUGUUUUUUUAGGCAGAGUUAAUGGUGAUUGAUCAAGGAUUAAGCCAAUAAAUUAGACUAUUUAUUCGAUUUGAUUUUUUUUAUUAAUUUCAAUUAAUUAAUAUAUAGCUGAAUCAAGAAUUAAAAUUUAUAAAAUCUUCGAAUCAAUUUGCAUUUAAUAAAUUAAAAAUCAAAUUAAUUUUAUUUGAAUUUUUAAUUUAAUGUUGAGAAGUACAAUACACCCCUCCCCUUCUCUCUGUACAUAUAAUAUAUUCAAUUUUGGCAUGAUAUUUAAUUUGAUGAAGUAAAAUUUUUUAAUAAUUAUUUUUUUCUUCUGAAAAAUAACACUUUUAAGAUAAUAAAAAAAUAUAAUUAUGUUAAAAUAUAUUAAAUAUGUUGGAUUAGUCGAAAUUUCUAAAUGGUAAAAAUUUUUAAAUUAUAGAGAUUAAAUAUUAAAAAAUUUAAUAAUUAAAAUUAAUAAAUUUUUUAAAAUAUUAUAAAUGUUUUAAUAUAUUUUUUAAAAUUAAAUUAUAAUAUAAGAAUUAAAUAGAAAAUUUUAUAUUUUAUAUUUAUAAAAUUAUUUGAUUGGUGUGUCACCAUACAACCUGUUCAGGUGGCACUGCCACCUCGUUCUCCUUAUAUUGUACUAUACAUUUCAAUGUGGAGAAAUUAUUGGCGAUUCCAGAUAUCGCCUCAUCAUACCUGAUAUACUAUGAGUAUAUAAUAUUAUUCCAUAAUUACAAUGACUAAAAAAAAUAUUUUUUUAAAAAUAUUCUAUAAAUGUCUUUUAUUAUGGGCACUAGACAACCUGUUUAGGUGGCACUGCCACCUCAUCCUCCUUUGAUAUAGGAAAUGUCUUUCUACACUUAGAAACCUAACAGAAAUCUAAAGAUCACAAAAUUAACAGAAAGCGUUUCAAAGCUCUACGAUACAAACUGGGCUUAAAAGCCGCUAAAAAGGGAGAAGACACACAACAACUAGUGCCUCAUUAUAAUUUUUCUUGACCAAUUAUUUAUAAUUUGAAGGAAAGAAAAAUGUCAAAUUUAAAUUUUAUGUGUUUAAAUAAUUUUUUUUAUAUUGUUCUUUGUAUUUAUCUGUUUAUAAUAAAGAAAAAAUAUACAAUAUACUCUUUUUAUCAGAACAUAAAAUAUAUUAUUGAUGAAACACAAAUCACUAUUUUUAUACGAGAAUCAAUUAAUAAAUUUAUAAAUUUUAAUAUAAAUUUCAGUUUUUAGUGAUAAAAAUAGCUGUAUGUAUAAAUAAAUUAACCACAAACUGAAUUAUUUAUCCUCUCAUAUUAAUGCAUAUUUAUUAAAUCCUUAUUACAAUUAUGCCAUAAUUAAAGUAUACGGUACUUUUGGAUUAAUUGAAUCAAUGCCUGUGGAAUUUUAAAUUUAGCUAUAUUGUUUGUGUAAAAUUAUUUAUAUUUAAAAAAUGUUUUUUAAAAAUAGUUUUUAUGAAAACUUUUUUUAAGGGAGUAAUUUAUUUUGAUGAUUUAAUUUAAAUUUAAAUUUCUAAUAAGUGUUUAUAGUGUAGAAAACAAAUUUAUUUUUUAAAAUAAUUUGAUGAUAAUGUAUAAAUAAAAGGAUCUAUUGAUAUUCUGACACAUGUUUACAGGAUUUAUAAGGGUUGUUUGAACCUUUCAAUGUGAACCAACCGAGCAGUAGAAAAUUCGACUUAUGAGAUAUUAAAAUCGUAUCAUCAAUAUCUUUUACCCUAUUAAAAUUGGGAAUAGAAGAAUAAACAUUUUCAAAAUUUGUGCUACAAUAGAGUAUUAAAUAUGUGCUGCGAUGAAUAAUGCUAAUAUAACGUGCCUGACAAUUGAAAUAUGGACUAAGCAACUCCAUAUCUGUUAGCUAACUAUUCACCAUUAAAUGAAUUGCCUGACAAACUUGCUCAAAAGUCCUUCAAUCAUAUUUAAAAGGAUGUAUCAGAAGGGACGUUAGUGCAAACACAGUAUAUAUUCUCUUAAUAUAACUUGAAUUGAAUACAUUCUUUAACUCACUAAAUUCAUUAAUUUUGCCUCUUCAAGAAAUCUUAACUUCUCCAAACUUAGCACCUGAUUUAUUAACUCUCAUUUAUUUUUCUGCAUUUACUCUUCAUUAAAACCAAUCUUUGUUGAUUGAUUUCCUUGUAGAAUCUAAUUAUUAUCCAAGUGUCCUUGUCUCGUGACCCCUUCGAAUCUCGGUUCAUCAUUUGCAAAAAACUUCUUUGCACCUUUGUCAAAUCCUCAAAUUUUCACUUUAAGUCCCGGUCAAUUUUUUUAUAUUAACAUCCUCUAAAAUUUAAAAAUAAUAAAUAUAAAUAAAAAAUUAUUUAAUUUAGCUCAACUUAGCAAAAAAAAGAGAUCAUGUGGAUGUCGUGUGAUAAACAUUUGUUAAAGGGCAACUAUUUUAAUUAUUAAACCCACAUAUUGACUUGCAAAUCAAUAUACUCAAUCACCAUCCAUUACAAAAUCUCAAUGGACAAGCCAUGGACACCAACCCUUAAGACGCCUUAAUAGUUUAUACUCAAUUUAGACUUCAUCAUCUCAAUUGCAACACCUUAUAUGAAAGAAACAUUGGAGAUCAUCUAGAGCACAACACCUCGUAUGAAAAAAGAAACAAAAUCUUGAGAGUUUUCAGAGGUCUAGAGACAAAAUGGAGUGAUACUUGGUGGUUUAUCAUUGGUUGUAGCUGUAACAGUAGUGGGGAUUUUGCAACAGGAUUUUCAAGAAAAGUGGAUUACUUGGUGGAAUUUUUGGACUCGACAAGCUCAAUUUCAAAGAAGAGAGAAUAAAGAAAGAAGAAUAUGUAAAGGGAGGCAGGGAUGCAACCAAAACAUAAUCAAUCAUGGAGAUAUAAAUGAAGGGAAACAGUAAUGGCGUGAAAAAAUUUAACCAGAACUUAAGUGAAUAAUUAACAAUUUCAUGAGAACUUAAAGAACUUUUUUUACUAAAUAAUUUAAAUUUUAUUUUGAUAAAAAAUAUUUUAUAUUUAUUAAAUUUUUUAGGGUUUCAAACGUUAGAAAAUUUAAAAAUAUUUUAUAUUUUUAUUAUAUUUUAAUUUUUUAAAAAUAUUUUAUCCAAAAGAAAGCCGCAGAAUUGAAACUUUUUUCAGUACAAACUGCUUAAUUUGAUUUUUAUUGUUAAAUAAUUUUAAUUUUUAGUUCGAUUUAAUUUUUUAAUAAAAAAUAAUUAUAAAAAAAAAAAACUACGCCAAUGGAUUUGUAAAACUAUGUGGUAUUUUCCUACCUAUAUAUAUGAAUGAACUGAAGUUUAAAAGGCCGCUACCUUAUCACAGAAGACAAAAUCACGCUCUCCUCUGCUUCUCUUUCUUUUCUUUGUCUGAGCCUCUGCUUCUCUUAAACCCAACCAUCCAUUCUCAGUUUUUCACUCAUGCCGGUUCUUGCCAUCGCUUCUUCUCCUUCCUAUUGUUUAAUUCUCCUUCUGCCUUUCAGAUAUAUAUUUGGUUAUGUCAUUCUGAAAGGGAUUUGAGGAAGGGGAGCAUAUCCAGCCUUAUUUCUUCUUCCCUUGAACCGUUGGUGCUUCUUCUCCUUCUAAGAGCAAGUGAUCGCGUCGAGAGCACUAAUCAAGAAAGAUUGAGCUCAACAUUACCACUUCUAUAAGCCAUGGAUUUAGGUUAAUUUGUCUGGCGAUGGCUUAUGGAUGUAGAUUUGUUGUAUUUGUAAAAGGUAUGCUUCCUCGAUGCUUGCA